This 301-nucleotide ribosomal RNA is filed under the name uncultured bacterium. RNAcentral describes it as "bacterial SSU rRNA". It matches the Rfam family "Bacterial small subunit ribosomal RNA", at positions 338 to 637 of the family's 1533-position model. The record is from RNAcentral.
CCUACGGGAGGCAGCAGUGAGGAAUAUUGGUCAAUGGGAGAGAUCCUGAACCAGCCAAGCCGCGUGAGGGAAGACGGCCCUAUGGGUUGUAAACCUCUUUUGUCGGGGAGCAAAACCCGCGACGUGUGCCGUUCUGCGUGUAUCCGAAGAAAAAGCAUCGGCUAACUCCGUGCCAGCAGCCGCGGUAAUACGGAGGAUGCGAGCGUUAUCCGGAUUUAUUGGGUUUAAAGGGUGCGCAGGCGGUCCGUUAAGUCAGCGGUAAAAUUGCGAGGCUCAACCCCUUCGAGCCGUUGAAACUGGC